Molecule: ribosomal RNA, 588 nt
Filed under: Podosphaera fuliginea
Lineage: Eukaryota; Fungi; Ascomycota; Leotiomycetes; Helotiales; Erysiphaceae
Description: partial large subunit ribosomal RNA
Rfam family: Eukaryotic large subunit ribosomal RNA
Source: RNAcentral
AUAAGCGGAGGAAAAGAAACCAACAGGGAUUACCUCAGUAACGGCGAGUGAAGCGGUAACAGCUCAAAUUUGAAAUCUGGCUCCUCGGAGUCCGAAUUGUAAUUUGCAGAAGAUGCUUUGGGUCUCGGCCUAGCCUAAGUUCCUUGGAACAGGACGUCGUAGAGGGUGAGAAUCCCGUAUGCGGCUGGCGCCGGUGCCCGUGUAAAGCUCUUUCAACGAGUCGAGUUGUUUGGGAAUGCAGCUCUAAAUGGGUGGUAAAUUUCACCUAAAGCUAAAUAUUGGCCAGAGACCGAUAGCGCACAAGUAGAGUGAUCGAAAGAUGAAAAGCACUUUGGAAAGAGAGUUAAACAGUACGUGAAAUUGUUGAAAGGGAAGCGCUGGCAACCAGACUUGGGCGCUGUCGAUCCGCUAGGGUUUUCUCUAGGGCACUCGGCAGCGCGCAGGCCAGCAUCGGUUUGGGGGGUUGGAGAAUGGCUGGUGGAAUGUGGCUGUCUUCGGGCAGUGUUAUAGCCACCGGUGGCAUGCAGCCUCCCCGGACCGAGGACCGCGCUUCGGCUAGGAUGCUGGCGUAAUGGUUGUCAGCGACCC